Molecule: long non-coding RNA, 706 nt
Organism: Homo sapiens (human)
Lineage: Eukaryota; Metazoa; Chordata; Mammalia; Primates; Hominidae
Exons: 2
Source: RefSeq, a predicted model, not a curated record
GCAUCUCUGUGGCAGCUGCCCCGGUGCUUCCCGCCGCGCCGCGCCCGCCCACCCAACGGCGCUGUGUCCCGGUAGCUCAGCGCGGACUUCCUUUAUGUGGUACAGGGUUGGGCCUGGAGACGCGGAGGCCGGCGAGGUCCUGGCUGGGAGAGGCCGCCGCUGCCUUCAGGUUUCCGAGGAAUAAAAGCCUCAUCCUGCUGGGAAGGGCAGAAAAGAGGAAGCUGAAGACAUCAGUGGGAAGACAUAGUAUAGUGGCUGCUGGAAGAAGAUCUGGGAAAAAACAAGGAGACCCUCUACCCAGGAAUGGGAGGAAGAUGCAUGGAUCAGCAUCACACCUGCAGGAGGGCAGGGAUACUUGGAAGGACACAACCUGAGCCAGGACUGUGAUGUCUGCCUGCAGUAUGGCUCCCUCAGAAGGACAGAGAGUGCCCGUUCAGUGCGACCCUUCCCACCACAUUGACAAUUGUCCGGUCCAUGUGGCUUUAGAAUGACCUGGGGGAUUUGAAAGACAGAGUCUCUCUGGAUAGCACAAGACUAAAGCCCAAAGCCAAGCAGGAAACAAAAUUAAGGUGUUACUGGAGGAAUCUGGGUGUCUGGUGGCUACAGAGGAAAUGUACUUCAAUUCUGGCAGCCACUGCAAUAAGGACUUUCAAAUGUAGUCCUGAGUAGUUUCACACAAUUUUCUACAAUAAAGGCCUAGAAAAGA